GCUCCCGUAGCUCAGUUGGAUAGAGCGACCGCCUCCUAAGCGGUAGGACGAACGUUCAAAUCGUUUCGGGAGCA
RNAcentral lists this transfer RNA (74 nucleotides) under Acidobacteriota bacterium. Its description in RNAcentral is "Acidobacteria bacterium (soil metagenome) tRNA-Arg". It matches the Rfam family "tRNA". From Rfam's summary of the family: Transfer RNA (tRNA) molecules are approximately 80 nucleotides in length. Their secondary structure includes four short double-helical elements and three loops (D, anti-codon, and T loops). The record is from RNAcentral. RNAcentral also lists the same sequence under 2 other names. Lineage: Bacteria; Pseudomonadati; Acidobacteriota.